AUUUUAUUUAUUUUUAUUUAACUUAACAUCACUGAAAAGGAAAAAAGUCUCCAAAGAGAACAUAUUGUGUGACAUCAUGCAGUUUUGAAACUCCAGCAGGAAAUGGUCUGCUCCUUCUGAUCUUCACUCACAAAGUAUGUUCGUACUACUCAACAGAAACAGAAAAAAACCUUAGCAUACCUUGGCUAAAACAGCAGCUAAGUCAACAUCAUGGGGGUUUUACAAUUGAAGGUUGCAGGCUUUUUCCAGUUCUAAUUGCCUGAAUUCUUGUUGCCAAUAAAAUGGAAAGCUAGCUUCCUGGGUAACUUCCUGUAUGACUGAAUGAGAAACAAAUCUUGAAAGUUUCACACUCACAAGGCUCAGUUCUGCUAAGUGGAAGCCAAGAUGAGCAUUUUUGAAAACUCUCCUACAGAAGCAAAUGAACCAAACUCAAACUGCGAAG
Molecule: long non-coding RNA, 442 nt
Filed under: Parus major (Great Tit)
Lineage: Eukaryota; Metazoa; Chordata; Aves; Passeriformes; Paridae
Description: lncRNA (ENSPMJG00000008366.1)
Source: RNAcentral